RNAcentral lists this ribosomal RNA (253 nucleotides) under uncultured bacterium. RNAcentral's name for it is "partial 16S ribosomal RNA". It matches the Rfam family "Bacterial small subunit ribosomal RNA", at positions 524 to 776 of the family's 1533-position model. The record is from RNAcentral.
UACGUAGGGUGCGAGCGUUGUCCGGAAUUAUUGGGCGUAAAGGGCUCGUAGGCGGUUUGUCGCGUCGGGAGUGAAAACAUCGGGCUUAACUCGAUGCUUGCUUUCGAUACGGGCAGACUUGAGGUAUGCAGGGGAGAAUGGAAUUCCUGGUGUAGCGGUGAAAUGCGCAGAUAUCAGGAAGAACACCGGUGGCGAAGGCGGGUCUCUGGGCCACUACUGACGCUGAGGAGCGAAAGCGUGGGGAGCGAACAGG